Molecule: long non-coding RNA, 201 nt
Filed under: Gossypium barbadense (sea-island cotton)
Lineage: Eukaryota; Viridiplantae; Streptophyta; Magnoliopsida; Malvales; Malvaceae
Description: long non-coding RNA (GBAR_LNC004145)
Source: RNAcentral
GAUAAUAUGAAGGAAACCAACCGAAUGUUGGUGCAACCAUCGGUGCCUCUGGUUAGACUAGAGCCGAUGAUGAACUUGUCUUAGACUAGAGCCGAUGAUGAACCUGUCUCAGGACAUUCUCCCGACCUAAGAUUCUGGUGCGGUCGUCGUGGCUUCUUUUUACGUUGUUGCCUAUUCCUCACCUCCUCCAACUGGUGUCUA